GAUGAACGCUGGCGGCGUGCCUAAUACAUGCAAGUCGAGCGAACAUACGAGGAUCUUGCUCCUCUGACGUUAGCGGCGGACGGGUGAGUAACACGUGGAUAACCUACCUAUAAGACUGGGAUAACUUCGGGAAACCGGAGCUAAUACCGGAUAAUAUAUUGAACCGCAUGGUUCAAUAGUGAAAGACGGCUUUUCUGUCACUUAUAGAUUGAUCCGCGCCGCAUUAGCUAGUUGGUAAGGUAACGGCUUACCAAGGCAACGAUGCGUAGCCGACCUGAGAGGGUGAUCGGCCACACUGGAACUGAGACACGGUCCAGACUCCUACGGGAGGCAGCAGUAGGGAAUCUUCCGCAAUGGGCGAAAGCCUGACGGAGCAACGCCGCGUGAGUGAUGAAGGUCUUCGGAUCGUAAAACUAUGUUAUUAGGGAAGAACAAAUGUGUAAGUAACUAUGCACGUCUUGACGGUACCUAAUCAGAAAGCCACGGCUAACUACGUG
Molecule: ribosomal RNA, 497 nt
Filed under: uncultured bacterium
Lineage: Bacteria
Description: partial 16S ribosomal RNA
Rfam family: Bacterial small subunit ribosomal RNA
Source: RNAcentral